UCCUAACCGUGCAAAGGUAGCAUAAUCACUUGCCCAUUAAUUGUGGGCUAGAAUGAAAGGAUAAACGAARUAAAUACUGUCUMUAUAAGCCGCUUAAAAAUUACCCUCUAACCGAAGAGUGUUAGAUAGCGUCGAAGGACAAGAAGACCCUAUAGAACUUAAUUUAAAUAAAUAUAAAAAAAUUUACUAAAAUUCGGUUGGGGCGACCAGGGAAUUACCCAUCAUCCCUAAGCAAAAGAUAAAUAUAUCAAAAUACUGACCCUUCUACAAGAUCAUUAAAACAAGCUACCUUAGGGAUAACAGGCUAAUCUCACUAGAGAGUCCUUAUCAAUAGUGGGGAUUGGCACCUCGAUGUUGGCUUAGGGAAUCUCUAUAACGCAAAAGUUAUAUAAAGAUGGUUUGUUCAACCAAUAACACCCUACAUGAGCUGAGUUCAGACCGGCGUAAGCCAGGUUAGUUUCUAUCCUCGAUCACUAUAUCUAUUUAUAGUACGAAAGGACCUAAUUAGAGUAACAUUUACACACAGGGAAUAAAUAUAAACCAUUCUAAAUAAAAUAAUUCAUAAACUAUGAGUAAGUUGGCAGAAUAGUGCCACCGACUUAGGAUCGGUUCAUGGGUAAGCCCACCUACUAUGCAACUUAGUUCAUUUAGAAUAACCAACCUGCACUUGGUAGGAGAGGUAUCUCAGUAGCGGUUUGAUGUUUCGGAAAUACUGGACCUUGAACGUCCACUUAA
RNAcentral lists this ribosomal RNA (735 nucleotides) under Lumbricus terrestris (common earthworm). Its description in RNAcentral is "partial 16S ribosomal RNA". The stretch from base 1 to 487 matches the Rfam family "Bacterial large subunit ribosomal RNA", at positions 1940 to 2925 of the family's 2925-position model. The record is from RNAcentral. Lineage: Eukaryota; Metazoa; Annelida; Clitellata; Crassiclitellata; Lumbricidae.